UUAUGAAUAAUAAUCAAGUUUCAAAUAGAGGAGUGUACCUAACCGAAAAACACAAAAUUCACCUCCUUGGAGUCAUUUUCUGUAAAAAUAAAGUCCAAAAUUGGACUUAGGAUGUCGAAAUUAGCUAGGUGGGAUACUGUUAAAAAUUGCUGACGUGGUAGUGUUGACAUGGCAGAAGACAUGCCGCUGUCUGCUGAUGCGUCAAUGAUGUGGCAGGAUGCCGUGGUGUUGACAUGGUGGAAGCAUAAGUAGAUUAGGUGCAUGUAAGCUAACGAACGUCAGGUUCUAGUCGGAUAGCAGUUCCAACAACGAGAACAGGUAGAUUAGCAUCGGCAAGUGUCCAAGGAUGGUUCAGAUGCCAGAGAAGUUCGAAUUUCAGUUGAGUCUUGAAUCGGAUCGUUUCCAACCUGGUAGGAUCUUUAACUUCGGCCAACUUUAGGCGAUCGAAAGAGGUUCUCUAGACUUGCUACAGGCCGAUGAGUCUUCUGGAAGUGGUGGCGUGAUAGCUGGAUGGCUGCUAGUGGUGGGUCUUGUGUGAAGUGUGGGCAGUGGUGAUGUAGAGCAAAGAGAAAGAAUCAACAAGAAGAAGAA
This 591-nucleotide unclassified non-coding RNA is filed under the name Hevea brasiliensis (rubber tree). Lineage: Eukaryota; Viridiplantae; Streptophyta; Magnoliopsida; Malpighiales; Euphorbiaceae. The record is from RNAcentral.